CACAUCUGCAGCUGGCCACCAGAAAACAUGGCCGGCGUCUCAACAUUGGGAGAAUUUGCUGGAAUGUCUUUGUGGAAAUGAUUCAACAUUUCCAAAGAGGCUUUUCCAUCUGUCAUCUGCUUCCUUUUCAUCCCCAGAUAAAAGGAGCUCAAAAAUAUUUUUAUGGCUGACAUGGUGGCCGGAACCUGCUUCUCUACGGCCUUGACAUCCUCCUGAGGACCACAGACCUGCAGCAAACCCACCUGGGCAAGGGGAUGGGGCUCCUCUGGAACCUGAUUACCAACACCCAGCCCCAGCCUGCUCCCUGACUUCCAGAGCCUCCUGGGAAGUCCGUUCAGUCUUCCUCCAACCUCCCUGGAGCUGUGAGCUCUCUCCAUCCUGACCAAGGUUGUUCGGUCCCCUCUCCUGUGUGUCCCUCGUGGAUCUUCUGAGUUCAUCCUCCAUUGUUUCUCUUCUCUGUUUUCCAGCAUCGUUAGGAGCCCCUCCUCCUCUUCCUUUUCCUUCUACUUUUUCAUGCUUAAUCCGGCCAUUUCUCAAAAUACAUGGAUGUCGAGAAAAUAAAAUGAGUAAACCCCUGUUAAUAAGCAAACAAAAAAAUAAAUAAAUAACCCACCACUGAA
This is a long non-coding RNA of Suricata suricatta (meerkat), 620 nucleotides long. RefSeq lists it as uncharacterized. Lineage: Eukaryota; Metazoa; Chordata; Mammalia; Carnivora; Herpestidae. The record is from RefSeq and is a predicted model, not a curated record. The transcript has 2 exons.